RNAcentral lists this transfer RNA (71 nucleotides) under Albula goreensis. Its description in RNAcentral is "tRNA-OTHER". The record is from RNAcentral. Lineage: Eukaryota; Metazoa; Chordata; Actinopteri; Albuliformes; Albulidae.
GCCUGUAGUCUAGUGGUUAAGGUUCAUGACUGGGAUGCUUGAGGUUGGUGGUUCAAGACCCAGUCCAGUCA